CCCGCCGUGGCCCAGGACGAGGCGUCCGCCCGGCUGAUGGCCCGGUUGCAGAAGCGCAGGAUCGAGGUCCUGUCGGCGCGC
Molecule: transfer RNA, 81 nt
Filed under: Streptomyces lateritius
Lineage: Bacteria; Bacillati; Actinomycetota; Actinomycetes; Kitasatosporales; Streptomycetaceae
Description: tRNA-Ile(gat)
Source: RNAcentral